GGAUGUCUGGAUUAAGCACGUUUCGGCUGACGGCCUUGGGUGAUUUCAGCUCCACCGCUGA
Molecule: small nucleolar RNA, 61 nt
Filed under: Euglena gracilis
Lineage: Eukaryota; Euglenozoa; Euglenophyceae; Euglenales; Euglenaceae
Description: Eg-m107 box C/D methylation-guide
Source: RNAcentral